RNAcentral lists this ribosomal RNA (431 nucleotides) under Absidia sp. CL098. RNAcentral describes it as "LSU rRNA". It matches the Rfam family "Eukaryotic large subunit ribosomal RNA", at positions 331 to 670 of the family's 3401-position model. Lineage: Eukaryota; Fungi; Mucoromycota; Mucoromycetes; Mucorales; Cunninghamellaceae. The record is from RNAcentral.
AGACCGAUAGCGAACAAGUACCGUGAGGGAAAGAUGAAAAGAACUUUGAAAAGAGAGUUAAACAGUAUGUGAAAUUGCCAAGAGGGAAGCAUUUGGAGUUAGAUUGACUAGGAGUUAAUCAGCUUGGUCUUUGGACUGGGUGUACUUGACUUCUAUUGGUCUGCCAAUAGCAGUUAGUCCUAGUGGAAAAAACUAGAGGGAAGGUAGUCCUUCGGGAUGUUUAUAGACCUUUGGAAAAUACACUGGGAUUGACUGAGGAAUGCAGUAGAUGCCACUAAGGCUUCGUCUAGUGGGUGCUAGGCAAAGGUACUUGGUAUUUUCAGCUUGCUGAUGUGCUAGGUUACCCGAGUCUAGUCGCCUACUAGAACUGUAAUCUACUUUGGUUAUUGGCUUAAUGACUCUAAAUGACCCGUCUUGAAACACGGACCAAG